UUCCGCCAUGUUAUGAUAGAGCAAAAAAGCUGCUGCCAGAAGCUAACCCUGUGCCAGCUCCCUGCUUUUUGGACUUCCCAACCUCUAGAAUCCUAAGACCCUUGGCAGUUAAUCUCUCACUGGCUUGCAACAUGGUCUUCUUCGUAAGAGAUGCUUGACUGAAGAGAGUGGGAGUUGUGUAACUACCUUCUAGUAUUCCUGCUGCAGUGCGCUGUUUGUUCAACUACUGAAGAUUUCAUACCACAGAACUCUGUGACUCGCUCUUCAAAAACAGCUCUUCAACUUGGAUAGAGGUUGAUUUUUAUAGACAUUUUGAAAGUCACUAAUGAAGCAACAAGGCCUUGAGAAGAAAAAAUAAGAAAGUACCUUCAGGGCCUUAGACUUAGAAAGUACCUUCAGGGCCUUAGAAGAUUGAUUAAAUAAGACACAAAAAAACCAUUAACCAUAAAGGGCAAAUAAAAAUGUGAUAAUUUGGACUAUUAAACAAUUACUAAAAUUUGUUCAUGAAAAGACACAAUAAACUGGGCAUAGUGGA
This is a long non-coding RNA of Chinchilla lanigera (long-tailed chinchilla), 535 nucleotides long. RefSeq lists it as uncharacterized. The transcript is spliced from 2 exons. The record is from RefSeq and is a predicted model, not a curated record. NCBI's taxonomy places the organism in Eukaryota, Metazoa, Chordata, Mammalia, Rodentia, Chinchillidae.